AGAAUCAACGCUGGCGGCGUGCCUAACACAUGCAAGUCGAACGAGAAAGUGGAGCAAUCCAUUAGUAAAGUGGCGCACGGGUGAGUAACACGUGACUAACCUACCCUUGAGUGGGGGAUAACCUAGAGAAAUCUGGGCUAAUACCGCAUAAUACCUUCGGGUCAAAGGAGCAAUUCGCUUAAGGAGGGGGUCGCGGCCGAUUAGUUAGUUGGCGGGGUAAUGGCCCACCAAGACUAUGAUCGGUAUCCGGCCUGAGAGGGCGCACGGACACACUGGAACUGAAACACGGUCCAGACUCCUACGGGAGGCAGCAGUGGGGAAUUUUGCGCAAUGGGGGAAACCCUGACGCAGCAACGCCGCGUGGAGGAUGAAGCCCCUUGGGGCGUAAACUCCUUUCGAUCGGGACGAUAAUGACGGUACCGAGAGAAGAAGCCCCGGCUAACUUCGUGCCAGCAGCCGC
This 460-nucleotide ribosomal RNA is filed under the name uncultured bacterium. RNAcentral's name for it is "SSU rRNA". It matches the Rfam family "Bacterial small subunit ribosomal RNA", at positions 26 to 518 of the family's 1533-position model. The record is from RNAcentral.